This 2974-nucleotide ribosomal RNA is filed under the name Candidatus Taylorbacteria bacterium RIFCSPHIGHO2_02_FULL_47_18. Its description in RNAcentral is "bacterial LSU rRNA". It matches the Rfam family "Bacterial large subunit ribosomal RNA", at positions 13 to 2151 of the family's 2925-position model. The record is from RNAcentral. Lineage: Bacteria; Candidatus Tayloriibacteriota.
ACAAGGGCGUACGGUGGAUGCCUUGGCUUGAAAGAGCGAUGAAGGACGCUGCGUAGCGGCGAUACGCUUCGGGGAGGUGCCGAGCAACCUUUGAUCCGAAGAUGUCCGAAUGGGGAAACCCGUCUCGAUGAAUGAUCGAGACACUCCGACGCAAGUCGGAGAGCGCACCCGGGGAAGUAAAACAUUUCAGUACCCGGAGGAAAAGAAACCAAUUGGUAUUUCCUUAGUAGCGGCGAGCGAAAAGGAAUCAGCCUAGAUUGAACGGUUCGCAAGAACUGUUUGAAGUUGUAAGGCAAGAAUUUCGUAUUUAUACGAGGAAAGUUAUUAAAUUGUUCGUUAGUGGAAGCUUCUGGAAAGAAGCGCCCCAGAGGGUGAUAGUCCCGUACACGAAAACGAACGAUCUUUCUUGUUUUUGUCCUUAAGUACCUCAAGACACGAAUACCUUGGGGGAAUCCGCCGGAACUAACCGGCAAGGCUAAAUAUCUUUCAAGACCGAUAGUGAACAAGUACCGUGAGGGAAAGGUGAAAAGCAGCCCGAUGAGGGCGGUGAAAUAGACCUGAAACCGUAUGCUUACAAAGAGUUACGGCCCCAUGCGCAAGCAUCGUGGGUUGUAGCGUGCCUAUUGAAGAAUGAGCCAACGAGUCCAGGGAGAGAGCGUGUCUAAGCCCCUUAAACAAGGGCGGAGGCAUAGCGAAAGCGAGUGUUAAUAGCGCGUAGUCCGCCGCAAGGCGGACGCGCUCUCUCUUUGGGACCCGAAGCCAGAUGAGCUUGCCAUGAGCAGGGUGAACCUUCGCGAAAGCGAAGGGGAGGCCCGAACGCUAGAGCUGUGCAAUACUCUGCGAUGACUUGUGGCAAGGAGUGAAAAGCUAAUCGAAUUUGGUAAUAGCUGGUUCUCUCCGAAAUAGCUUUAGGGUUAGCGUUGUGUGUUCCUUUUGGGGGUAGAGCACUGGAAGGUCCGGACAGGUCGAAAGACCGCUGGACCUAUCAAACUCCGAAUACCAAAAGUUAAAACAUAGCAGUUAGACCGUGGGGGCUAAGCUCCACCGGUCAAAAGGGGAAGAGCCCGGAUCUCCAGUUAAGGUCCCUAAAUCCAUGCUCAGUGCAUCGUAAGGAAGUGGUAUUUCUCAAACAGUGAGGAUGUAGGCUUAGAAGCAGCCAUCAUUUAAAGAAAGCGUAACAGCUCGCUCAUCGAGAGACGCCGCACCGAAGAUGAUCGGGGCUAAAGCAUGGUACCGAAACUGAGGGUGCUCCAAUUUUCGUAAGAAAGUCGGGGCGCGGUAGGAGAGUAUUCGCAUCUGCAGUGAAGCCGAAGGCGUGAGCCACGGUGGAGCGUUGCGAAGUAAGAAUGUUGGCACAAGUAACCACAAUGCAGGCGAGAAACCUGCACGCCGAAAGACCAAGGUUUCCUCCUCAAUGAUUGUCAGAGGAGGGUUAGUCGGGCCUUAGCCGAUGGCGAACGCCGGAGGCGAUGGACACACGGUUAAUAUUCCGUGACCGCGGCGCGUUUUGACGAAGUGACGAAGAUGAGUACUUCAGGCGCAUUAUUGGAUUUGUCGUUUGCAACAUAAGGAAGGAUUCCAGGAAAAUCCGGAGUCCUCGCUUUAAUGCGAUUUCCAAGCGUUGUGAAAAUGUGUUGACUUCGGUCAACGCAAAUCUGAAGGAGCCGUCUUUCAAGAAAAACUUCUAAAAUUAAACGCGACGCGACCGUACCGCAAACCGACACAGGUGGUCAGCUCGAGUAGAGUAAGGCGAACGAGUGAGAGGUCUCCAAGGAACUCGGCAAAAAAGCAGCAGUAACUUAGGGAUAUUGCUUGCCUCCCUACGGGAGGCUGCAACUAAAGUCUGCCUGGCGACUGUUUAACAAAAACACAGCUCCCUGCGAACUCGUAAGAGGAUGUAUAGGGGGUGACACUUGACCAAUGCCAGAAGGUCAAAUAUCGGCGUUGCUUUGUCGCAAGAUGGAGUGGUGACUGAUAUAAGCCCUGGUGAAUGUCGGCGAUAACUAUAAUCGUCCUAAGGUUGACCAUACUUUUCUUUAUAUGUCAAGCGUGGUCAAGGAUUGGGACGAUUACGGGUCGGCAUUUAAGUAGCGCUGCCCAUCCGCACAUGGCGGGUGUCCUAGAAUAUCUAGCUAUAUGCUGGAAAAUCUGUGGAUAAACUCCUUUAGUAUCCAACGAUACUAUGGUAAGAUUGUUCCAUAGUGAAUAAUCUACUUAGUAAAAAAUUAGUUGGUGCAGAUAACCAGCAGGAAAGAUUAGAAAUAGAAUCGUGGAUCGUGGGAUUUACAGACGGAGAGGGUUGUUUUUCGGCAAGUUUUAUUAAAAAUAAAACUACAAAAUCCGGAUGGCAAUUGUUUCCUGAAUUUGUAAUUACCCAAGGCGCAAAAAGUAUCUCUGCUUUGGAAGCGGUACAAAACUACUUCCAAUGCGGAAAGAUAUUUGUGAAUAAACGAUAUGAUAAUCACAAUGAAUAUCUGUAUCGCUACUGCGUACGAUCUAUAAAAGAUUUACGAGACAAAAUAAUUCCUUUUUUUGAGAAAAGAAAAUUAAAGACAUAUAAAGCAAGAGAUUUUAGAAUCUUUGCGCGUAUUGUGAAAUGUAUGUCUCGAAUGAUUCACCUUAAACCGAAAGGAAUGAAAAGAAUUGCUGAAAUGAUUGAGCAUAUGAAUAGAAAGAAAAAAUCUCGUUUUCUAAAAUCCUCAGAAACCAAACGCUAGAAUCCGAUUUUGGUCGGAUAAGAUAGAGUUCGUCCUGCAUGGCGACAUGCAGAUUAACAAAAGAUAGCGCAAUUCCUUGCGGGGUAAGUUCCCGCGCGUUGAAUAGUGUCACGUCUGGGCAACUGUCUCGGAGACUCGCUCGGUGAAAAUACAAUACCGGUGAAGAUGCCGGUUACCUGCAGUUAGACGAAAAGACCCCGGAAGCUUUACUGUAUCUUGGUAUUGCCUGCAUUUUUUUGAUGCGUAGCGUAGGCGGU